GAUGAACGCUGGCGGCGUGCCUAAUACAUGCAAGUCGAGCGAACAGACGAGGAGCUUGUUCCUCUGACGUUAGCGGCGGACGGGUGAGUAACACGUGGAUAACCUACCUAUAAGACUGGGAUAACUUCGGGAAACCGGAGCUAAUACCGGAUAAUAUAUUGAACCGCAUUGUUCAAUAGUGAAAGACGGUUUUGCUGUCACUUAUAGAUGGAUCCGCGCCGCAUUAGCUAGUUGGUAAGGUAACGGCUUACCAAGGCGACGAUGCGUAGCCGACCUGAGAGGGUGAUCGGCCACACUGGAACUGAGACACGGUCCAGACUCCUACGGGAGGCAGCAGUAGGGAAUCUUCCGCAAAGGGCGAAAGCCUGACGGAGCAACGCCGCGUGGGUGAUGAAGGUCUUCGGAUCGUAAAACUCUGUUAUUAGGGAAGAACAGAUGUGUAAGUAACUAUGCACGUCUUGACGGUACCUAAUCAGAAAGCCACGGCUAACUACGUG
This 497-nucleotide ribosomal RNA is filed under the name uncultured bacterium. RNAcentral's name for it is "partial 16S ribosomal RNA". It matches the Rfam family "Bacterial small subunit ribosomal RNA", at positions 28 to 507 of the family's 1533-position model. The record is from RNAcentral.